AUUCUUAUAAGCCAUCUAGCUAGCUUAACCUUGUUGCCCUCGUCUCUCAUGGCUGCCCUCUUCUUGUCCGACCCGGAGCCUAACCAGGUCCUUUUUGAAGAAAGUUCAUACGCACGAAAGAUGAUAUUAAACCGACCUCACAAACUAAACAGUCUCACUUAUGAAAUGAUUUCUCAAAUUUCAAGGAACUUGGAAGUGUAUGAGAAUGAUCACUUGGUCAAAAUUUUGAUUUUAAAGGGACAAGGAAAAGCAUUUUGUGCUGGUGGAGAUGUUGUAG
Vitis riparia (riverbank grape) is the source of this 277-nucleotide long non-coding RNA. RefSeq lists it as uncharacterized. The record is from RefSeq and is a predicted model, not a curated record. Lineage: Eukaryota; Viridiplantae; Streptophyta; Magnoliopsida; Vitales; Vitaceae. The transcript is spliced from 4 exons.